AUCGUGGCCUUGUCUUUUGCUUUUGUGCCACUCAAAUAUUUGAUUCUUUUUGCGUUCGUGGAGUCUUUCACAAGCAACAUGCCUCUGAGGAAAAUUGGCAGUGAAAGAGACCUUCGAAGGGUUAGGGAGUGGUGGAUCAGGAUACCAGCAGCCCCCGUGCAACUUAUCAAACCUGACGACAAAAAAGACAAGAGUAAAAAACCUAUAUUCAAAAAGGAGAAGAAGCAUGAAGAGUAGGAGUUAAUGUAUGUACGGUCCUUUAUUGCUGUAUUUCAAUGAAGAUAGACGGCACAAAGUGAAUGAAAA
Molecule: unclassified non-coding RNA, 306 nt
Filed under: Hevea brasiliensis (rubber tree)
Lineage: Eukaryota; Viridiplantae; Streptophyta; Magnoliopsida; Malpighiales; Euphorbiaceae
Source: RNAcentral